UCUGUUGAAGGGCAUCUGGGUUCUUUCCAGCUUCUGGCUAUUAUAAAAAAGGUUGCUAUGAACACAGUGGAGCGUGUAUCCCUGUUAUAUGUUGGAGCAUCUUUUUGGUGUAUGUUCAGGAGAGGUAUAGGUGGGUCCUCAGGUAGUACUAUGUCCAAUUUUCUAGAGUGGUUGUACCAGCUUGCAAUCCCACCAACAAUGGAGGAGUGUAAAUUUUAUCAGAUGUAGGAAUGUGGUAGUGAGGAUAGAUUGUGGAAAAGAGGGAGCAGACUUUCGACUGUGGGUGAGAAAACUGAGAGUGGUCCCCACCUACCCACCCACUCCUGCCUCACAACCCUAGCAUACCCCUGUGCUGGGGAUUUCUAAGCAACAUUACAGGAGGAGGAGGAAACAGUGCACAAGUUCCAUGGACUUCCUGUUAAGGAGACAAAGCAGGUUUGAUUGGAGUAUUGGGAAAAAAAUCUGGAAAAUGGGUUUUUUAGUUACAGAGAAAGUAAGAAGUGAUUGUGUGAAGAUCCAGAUGUCUCAUUUAAGACUCAUAACCCUUACAGGAGAUUUUUUCCUUGUCUUCUAAUUUUUGUGAAGACAUGUUACCAGUACUUUACAGCUUCUUCUCCAUUCCUUUCUUGCUUCCCACUUCUUGAUCAGGGAAUAGUAUGGCACCAAGUAAGAUUUAGACUUCUCCUCCUGACUUUUACACUUAUGGCAGUAAGACAAA
RNAcentral lists this long non-coding RNA (718 nucleotides) under Rattus norvegicus (Norway rat). RNAcentral describes it as "long non-coding RNA NONRATT023381". The record is from RNAcentral. Lineage: Eukaryota; Metazoa; Chordata; Mammalia; Rodentia; Muridae.